RNAcentral lists this unclassified non-coding RNA (331 nucleotides) under soil metagenome. RNAcentral describes it as "partial contains 5.8S ribosomal RNA, internal transcribed spacer 2, and large subunit ribosomal RNA". The stretch from base 1 to 120 matches the Rfam family "5.8S ribosomal RNA", at positions 35 to 154 of the family's 154-position model. The record is from RNAcentral.
GAUGAAGAACGUAGUAAAAUGCGAUAAGUAAUGUGAAUUGCAGAAUUCAGUGAAUCAUCGAAUCUUUGAACGCACAUUGCGCCCGCCAGUAUUCUGGCGGGCAUGCCUGUUCGAGCGUCAUUUCAACCCUCAAGCACAGCUUGGUGUUGGGACUCGCGUUAAUUCGCGUUCCCCAAAUUGAUUGGCGGUCACGUCGAGCUUCCAUAGCGUAGUAGUAAAACCCUCGUUACUGGUAAUCGUCGCGGCCACGCCGUUAAACCCCAACUUCUGAAUGUUGACCUCGGAUCAGGUAGGAAUACCCGCUGAACUUAAGCAUAUCAAUAAGCGAGGA